Bos taurus (domestic cattle) is the source of this 1759-nucleotide long non-coding RNA. The record is from Ensembl. NCBI's taxonomy places the organism in Eukaryota, Metazoa, Chordata, Mammalia, Artiodactyla, Bovidae.
AAUUAUAUCUGAAUUUUUUUUUUAGCAAUAAGACUAGAGAUAAUGUUCAAAUUUUGGAGGGAAUCUCUGCUUCAGUAGGAGCAACAUGUUUGUGUGACUCCUGUCAAAAUGACUUCACCUAAAGUAAGCAGUCUCGUGGGAUCAUGUUUAUCAGAAACGUGUUUUUCCUAGUUAUCUGUAUCCUGCUGAGUGUCUGACAACUCCACCCUUGAUGAGGGUGACGUUCCCCCCAUGGUGGUGGUUGAAAAGAUGAGGAUCCAAGUCCUUCCUCUGGUGGUGUUUGAAUUUCACUGAGUGGGAGGAGAAAAGGAAAGAUGAACAGAUACUGGACUUCAAGCAAUUGUGCGGUGUGGCUGUGUUAGAGAAGUGUCAGGCACGUUGAGAGUGUUCUGAGUGGUGGCAUCUUACUAAAGCAAUCCAAAGGACUACGGGUUUAAAUGAAAGAUAAAUGCAAUCUGUAGGGAAGGACUGUUGUGGUUAUUCCAGUGGCCCGUGCAGCAAGCCCUGGAGUAACCUUGAUCUUUGUCCUAGUUUCUGGCUUGUUCUCGUCCUACCUGAGUCUGAGCCUGGGAACUGGAGGAGUGGCCCUGGUGUGUUCACUCCUUUGAUUCUGGAACUUCCUUCUUGUCUCUCAAAAGUGUUUGUGACAUAGAAUUUCCAUUUUCUAAUAUAAAAAAUGUACAGAGUAUAUUUGUAUAUUUGUUUGAUAGAAGACCCUUAAAUGUUUGGAGACACCCACCUCAUCUCUAUGUAGGCAGUGGUCUCCAAACCUCUGCGCUCAUUGACCUCAUCAGUAAGACUUUCUAAGCAUGCCCCGCAAGGUAUUUAUUUAAACUCACACACACUGCUCCAAUGAUUUGUUAUUAAAAACAUAGCAAACAUAGAAAUUUACAGGGAAUAGUCUACUCGAUAGAGUUUAGAGUAUGGGGCAAGAAGGACUUAAAGGUAGCACGUAGAAGGCAGCAGUUGGUUAGAGAGUGUGUCUAUAUUGUUGGUGGGCAAGUAGAUGUAAAAUAGGCAUGGAAGCAUGAUUUUAGAUCAAGGUUAUUCAUUCAUUCAUUCUUAAGAGCCAUUUUUGGCUAGAAGAAAAGAGUGAAUAAUUAGAUGUUACCUUUAUAAGAACUCUUUUCAAUUCUGUUUUGGGGACCACUUGAUAUAGUACAUCUCUUAAAUUCCUGAAAAUUUUCUCAGUACGCUGAUUUAAGCAAAACAAGCAAAGAAAGGAGGGAGGGAAAAACCUCAAUAAUGCAAAUGCUGACUCUCAUGCCUGAGAAUUUCUGAAUCUGAAAAGCACGUUUUGAUAAUUCCUGGUAAUCAUCACCUCACUGAUUAUUUGUUUUUCUUCUAUUUGUUUAUUACCCCGUGUCUCCAAAUGUGUGGAAGAUGUACAGAUUUAGUGGAUAGCAUCUUGCUGAACGAGGGCCUCGAUAUGGAGGCGGCAUUCCAGUGUUUACUUCUGGACCUAUGAGUUCCUUUAGCACAGUUAUUGUUAGUAGUUUAUAAAGCCAUAUUUAAACUUGUACACUUGAUUGUAAGAUAGAUUUGAAUUGUGCACUAUGUUGAUUACUGUAUAUAAAUGUGGAGAUUCUGUAUAUUUGGUCUCAUUGCUGUAUGUAUUUGAUGUGUAUAUGAUAACUAAUGGAUAUGAAAUAGCUGGCUGUGAAUGUCUUUAUUCCAGUUUGCUUCUCUUUUGCAAAUUUGAAUGUUUAAACUUUACACCCAUGGGGAAAAUCUGAGAUAUUUUUUGCAUCUAAUAUAC